GAUUGAUGAUGAGCUGGCAUAUAUUCUGAAUCUUAAGUUUAAUUAUUACUACUGUAGCUCUAAAAUUACUGUGAUACCUA
Small nucleolar RNA from Macaca fascicularis (crab-eating macaque), 80 nucleotides. The record is from Ensembl. NCBI's taxonomy places the organism in Eukaryota, Metazoa, Chordata, Mammalia, Primates, Cercopithecidae.